RNAcentral lists this ribosomal RNA (268 nucleotides) under uncultured bacterium. RNAcentral describes it as "partial 16S ribosomal RNA". It matches the Rfam family "Bacterial small subunit ribosomal RNA", at positions 88 to 354 of the family's 1533-position model. The record is from RNAcentral.
AUGGCGACCGGCGCACGGGUGAGUAACGCGUAUCCAACCUGCCCUUUACUAUGGGACAGCCCGUCGAAAGGCGGAUUAAUACCGUAUGUUGUCAUGUUGAUGCAUAUUUUCAUGACCAAAGGCUUCGGCCGGUAAAGGAUGGGGAUGCGUCUGAUUAGCUUGCCGGCGGGGUAACGGCCCACCGGGGCGACGAUCAGUAGGGGUUCUGAGAGGGAGGUCCCCCACAUUGGAACUGAGACACGGUCCAAACUCCUACGGAAGGCAGCAG